AGUGAACGCUGGCGGUAGGCCUAACACAUGCAAGUCGAACGGCAGCACAGUAAGAGCUUGCUCUUACGGGUGGCGAGUGGCGGACGGGUGAGGAAUACAUCGGAAUCUACUUUUUCGUGGGGGAUAACGGAGGGAAACUUACGCUAAUACCGCAUACGACCUACGGGUGAACGCAGGGGAUCUUCGGACCUUGCGCGAUUGAAUGAGCCGAUGUCGGAUUAGCUAGUUGGCGGGGUAAAGGCACACCAAGGCGACGAUCCGUAGCUGGUCUGAGAGGAUGAUCAGCCACACUGGAACUGAGACAGGGUACAGACUCCUACGGGAGGCAGCAGUGGGGAAUAUUGGACAAUGGGCGAAAGCCUGAUCCAGCCAUACCGCGUGGGUGAAGAAGGCCUUCGGGUUGUAAAGCCCUUUUGUUGGGAAAGAAAAGCAGCAGGUUAAUACCCCGCUGUUAUGACGGUACCCAAAGAAUAAGCACCGGCUAACUUCGUG
This 492-nucleotide ribosomal RNA is filed under the name uncultured bacterium. RNAcentral describes it as "partial 16S ribosomal RNA". It matches the Rfam family "Bacterial small subunit ribosomal RNA", at positions 29 to 507 of the family's 1533-position model. The record is from RNAcentral.